This 1253-nucleotide long non-coding RNA is filed under the name Triticum aestivum (bread wheat). Its description in RNAcentral is "long non-coding RNA (TAES_LNC014558)". The record is from RNAcentral. Lineage: Eukaryota; Viridiplantae; Streptophyta; Magnoliopsida; Poales; Poaceae.
GGUUGCCUUGUGUUGCUUCGAUGGCUUUCCAGCGGUCAUGUUUAGAUGCAAUGCAUGCUGCAUCAGGUCGAUUCAGGUGUGCAUAUGUUUCCUCGCCCCUCCCCCUAGCCUAUUGUCUCGGUCUUUACUUGCUAGAUUUGGUGGAGGUUCUGUCAGAUCUGGUGGGGGUUCUACCAGAUCUGGCGGAGGUUCUGCCAGAUCUGGCAGUUCUUCCUCCUUGUGGCUCGUCUCCGGCCAGUAGUGAGUGGGAUUCCGUCGUUUGAUUUUCCUCCCCGUUGAUUAUGUCGCUGAUUUGGUCAUUAAUUGUCAGCUCGUCUCCCGUCGCUAGUGAAUUUUGGAUUUGGUAAUUGGUCACUUAUGCUUGAAGGCUUCUUGUUUGUGAUGGUGUAGACGCCAUUUUCUGUUUCAUAUCUUCCUCAGAUUGUGCGGCAAUUCCCGAUUCAGGUCAUCGGUCGUGAUGGUUUUCAUCACCGGUACUUUCCUGUGCUCUUGCUCCCCACCAUUUGGUUCUUGUCCACCUCCUCGGCCCCUCUUCUAUGGCUUUGGUAAAGUCCGAUCUUGUAGCAUUGGAAUGGCCAUGGAUUUUGCAAGAAGUGUUGUCUUAUGGUUGGUUGUUGUUUGGUCCUUAUGGUGCUUGUCUACCUAAGUCAUUGUCGCCGUAGGUCAUCGUGGGUGUUUAGGUCGUGUUGUAGUUGACCAGUGUUCAGGCUCUUGCAUCAGAUGUUUAUCGCUUUUCAUGUUGUAUGGCAUACUUUUGCUCUACCUUAGGUUGGGUUUGGUCAUCUCUUGCUUGUGGAUCUUGAUCCUUAGGUUGUUUAGAUUCUUCCUUUUGGGUUGUGCCUCUUUGGUGUUGUAUGGUACGCGCCUUCUUUGCCAAUGUAUCAUUUUCCUCUCAUAAUGAAUUGACAUGUAGCUCUCCUGCUAGUUCAGGAAAAAUGAUUAUAUGACUUAGCUUACUUCAUUUUGGUAUCAAAAUAAAAGAAUCAUAGAAUUCUGCAGUCUUCCAUUAGAAGGAUUCUUAUAAAAUUUUUUCAUGGAACUCCCGGUCUAAAGUCUCAAAUAUGGUAUAAGCAACUCUAGAGGGUGUUAUAGCUUCAACAAGAUCUAUGUGGGCCUUGUUUGGAGCCACUCCUAUAAAUUCAUAUUUGUGUAGAAUUAGGUUGUCUAGUUUCUAACCAUAUAUUGUAAAACACAUUGACACACUCAAUAAAUUUGGAAAUUUUAACCAGGUUUCUCUUCAUAUGGCAUUAUAG